Molecule: ribosomal RNA, 253 nt
Filed under: uncultured bacterium
Lineage: Bacteria
Description: partial 16S ribosomal RNA
Rfam family: Bacterial small subunit ribosomal RNA
Source: RNAcentral
UACAGAGGUGGCAAGCGUUGUUCGGAAUUACUGGGCGUAAAGCGCACGUAGGCGGAUCAGCAAGUUAGAGGUGAAAUCCCAGGGCUCAACCCUGGAACUGCCUUUAAAACUGUUGGUCUUGAGUUCGAGAGAGGUGAGUGGAAUUCCAUGUGUAGCGGUGAAAUGCGUAGAUAUAUGGAGGAACACCAGUGGCGAAGGCAGCUUACUACGGAUGCAUUGACACUGAGGCACGAAAGCGUGGGGAUCAAACAGG